RNAcentral lists this unclassified non-coding RNA (492 nucleotides) under Hevea brasiliensis (rubber tree). The record is from RNAcentral. Lineage: Eukaryota; Viridiplantae; Streptophyta; Magnoliopsida; Malpighiales; Euphorbiaceae.
UCAUGCACCAACACAAACAAAUAUUUAAAUCUUAGAGAGAGAGAAUCCUAAAAAUAUGUUGGCAAGUCCUGUGAGCAUAAUGCCUCUCUAUAGUCUAUAGUCAACCUGCAGGCUCAUUAGGCUGAAUUGCAUGACUUGAUGAUGAGUGUGCUUGUGCCUGCAGUGAAUCCUGUUUUGAAACCAAGGCACCCAUCUUUUCAAUGAGAUUCUGCAUAUUCGAAGUCAUCCUAGCUAUCUGAGCUUCCAGGGAUGCAUACUUUCGCUCCAUGGCCUCCAUUUUAUAUGAAAUUUUGCUUGACUCCUCAUUAGAUGAUCUUUUGGCCUCCAAAGCCAUCCUCUUGUGACUAGAAGUGCUGGGUCGGCACAAAAGGCCAGCAGGACUUGGACUCAACCCAAACAUGCUCCCAUGGCCACGUUUUUCUUCUCCCAUAACUUGGCAGUAGGUGUCAUCACGAUCAUCUCUUCCAUGUGAAGUCUGCUGUUUUUGAGUUG